CUAAAAGACAAAAAUGAACAAACAGAAACAGACUCAUAAAUACAGAGGACAAACUGGUGGUUGCCAGAGGGGAAGGAGAUAGGGAGAUAGGCAAAAUAGAGGAAGGGAAUAAAGGAGUACAAACUUCCAACUAUAAAGUAGUUCAUGGGGAUGAAAAGUACAGCAUAGGAAAUAUAAUCAGUAAUAUAAUAACUAUAUGGUGACAGAAACUACUCAUUAUGGUGAGCAUUUCAUAAUAGAUACAAUUGUCAAAUCAUACAACUGAAAUUCCUAUAAUGCUGUAUGUCAAUUAUAUUUCAAUUAAAAUUUUUAAAAAAAUUGAGUUGUGAACCACUUUUCUCUGUAGAACUUAGCAGCUAGUAAGUGGCCUUUUAAAAUACUCUUGGUCUUUCUCCUUAAGUAUAAUGUAGUGCUUUCUUCAACAGGCUGGAGGUGUACUUUCCAAAGGGCAGGAGUCUGGACAGACACGACUACACAGAACAGCCUGGACCAUGCUUCUAGAAAGGUAUACUCAAAUGCACCUAAUCAGAAGACCUCCCACCCCACCCUACCCCUCAACCUCCACAGCCCACCUUGCUUCUCAUCAUACCUCUUACACCUGAACAGAGACCAGACCCAGACUGGGGCCCACAUCCAGGUCCCCAGAUGACUGAGAGAAACCAGUCGUAUCCUCAACCUGGAGGAGGCAUAUCUAGCUGAUGGGAUAGACUGAAAUGCUGCUGGACAUGAAGUGCUCAGCACCCAAGAAGUCUGAGACAUGCUGGGGAUUCAUGGCAAGUCAUCAUGUGGAAUAUUUAAGUAGGAUUUUGUCCUUUGGUCAGUGACAGAGAUGACUGCAAAGCUUAAGAGAGCUUCAAAGAAUUCCAGGAA
This is a non-coding RNA of Manis javanica (Malayan pangolin), 870 nucleotides long. Lineage: Eukaryota; Metazoa; Chordata; Mammalia; Pholidota; Manidae. The record is from RefSeq and is a predicted model, not a curated record.